Molecule: ribosomal RNA, 494 nt
Filed under: uncultured bacterium
Lineage: Bacteria
Description: partial 16S ribosomal RNA
Rfam family: Bacterial small subunit ribosomal RNA
Source: RNAcentral
GACGAACGCUGGCGGCGUGCUUAACACAUGCAAGUCGAACGGUGAAGCGCCUUCCUUUUUGGUGGGUGUGGAUGAGUGGCGAACGGGUGAGUAACACGUGAGUAACCUGCCCCCUUCUUCUGGAUAACCGCAUGAAAGUGUGGCUAAUACGGGAUAUUCUGGGUCUGUCGCAUGAUGGGUCUGGGAAAGAUAUUGUUUCGGUGGGGGAUGGGCUCGCGGCCUAUCAGCUUGUUGGUGGGGUGAUGGCCUACCAAGGCGGUGACGGGUAGCCGGCCUGAGAGGGUGGACGGUCGCACUGGGACUGAGACACGGCCCAGACUCCUACGGGAGGCAGCAGUGGGGAAUAUUGCACAGUGGGCGAAAGCCUGAUGCAGCGACGCCGCGUGAGGGAUGGAGGCCUUCGGGUUGUGAACCUCUUUCGCCAGUGAAGCAGGCCUGCCUCGUUUGUGGGUGGGUUGACGGUAGCUGGAUAAGAAGCGCCGGCUAACUACGUG